Megalobrama amblycephala (Wuchang bream) is the source of this 988-nucleotide non-coding RNA. The record is from the annotation of a RefSeq genome assembly. NCBI's taxonomy places the organism in Eukaryota, Metazoa, Chordata, Actinopteri, Cypriniformes, Xenocyprididae.
AUUUUCUGGGUUGCAUCUGCAGAACUGUAUGCAAAUAAUCUUUCUCUUCCUAUUUAUUUGAUGAUUAAGAUUAAAAGAAGCAGCUUGCUCUCACACUUCUCAAACCAUGGUCUCCUCAUCUCUCUGGUUGUUUCUGCUGCUUGCAGCUGUCUCUCGUGUCCACUGUGUUGAACUGACCCAGACUGAUUCUGUGGUCUUAAGGCCUGGUCAGGUUUUGACUCUGUCCUGUAAGAUCUCUGGAUAUUCAUUGACUGACAGCAGCUACUGCACUGGCUUCAUACGACAGGCUGCAGGCAAAGAUCUGGAAUGGAUUGGAAGAAUAUGUGGUAGCGGAAGAAAUGAUUACAGUGAUAAACUGAAAAGUAGAUAUCAAGUUAGCAGAGACACUUCCAGCAGCACAGUGACUCUACAAGGACAGAAUAUGCAGACUGAGGACACAGCUGUGUAUUACUGCGCCAGAGAGUCACAGUGACACAAACCACAAGCAGCUUUGUUCAAAAACAUCUUGAAUGAAAAGUAUAAGAGAAAGUCUCCAUAUAACUUUUUUUUUCUGAUUAUUUAUUUAUAUUGUACAAGUGUGAAACAUCAGUGUUUUCCAGCCAAACAAAAAUUUGAGAAAUGAGCUGCAGACCUUUCUCUGUUGGUGUAACCUUGCUGUAACCUAAGACAAGUGGGUUCAAUUAGAUUAAACAAUAUUUUUGACUUAAAUGCAACUAGUUCAUUAGAAGCAACAAUUAAUGUUGUUGUAUAUAAAUAAAUAAAUUGUUAUUUAUUUAUAUAUUUAUUUAGUUAGUUGUGUGCAGUCACAGUAAAGUUAUUAAUCUUUAAUGAGAAUACUGCUGAUUUUACAACAGAGGGCACUGUCUGCCUUUGUGAUUCUCAGUCCAGCAGAUCAGAGAUAUUGUAAGAUUAAUGAAAUGGCCUUUUUAUUUAUUUAUUUAUUUAUUUUCUGGCUUCAUUUUUAAGCAAUGAAACAUAUAGCUAAUUU